GUGCCAGCAGCCGCGGUAAUACGGAGGAUGCAAGCGUUAUCCGGAUUCAUUGGGUUUAAAGGGUGCGUAGGCGGCCUUUUAAGUCAGUGGUGAAAUCCUGCCGCUUAACGGUAGAAUUGCCAUUGAUACUGAAAGGCUUGAGUCCAGUUGAGGUAAGCGGAAUGUGUAGUGUAGCGGUGAAAUGCUUAGAUAUUACACAGAACACCAAUUGCGAAGGCAGCUUACUAAACUGGCACUGACGCUGAUGCACGAAAGCGUGGGGAGCGAACAGGAUUAGAAACCCGUGUAGUCC
RNAcentral lists this ribosomal RNA (292 nucleotides) under uncultured bacterium. RNAcentral's name for it is "partial 16S ribosomal RNA". It matches the Rfam family "Bacterial small subunit ribosomal RNA", at positions 505 to 796 of the family's 1533-position model. The record is from RNAcentral.